RNAcentral lists this long non-coding RNA (371 nucleotides) under Mus spretus (western wild mouse). RNAcentral describes it as "predicted gene 29341 (ENSMSPG00010009600.1)". Lineage: Eukaryota; Metazoa; Chordata; Mammalia; Rodentia; Muridae. The record is from RNAcentral.
ACAAUAGUUCAUCACAUGGACACAUUCAGCAAAGAGACAACAUUUCCAGCAGGGUGGAGUGUAGAUAUAACAGUCUCUGGGAACCUUCUUUCUUGGCUCUUUGCCUAACCACCAGGCUCUCCACCCACCCCCUUCUUUCGAAGUUACCCCAAGUAUUCCAAGAAAUUGCUCAAUUCGAAGGGCGUUCAAAACUUUAAGUCAAAAUCUAGCUCCAUGUGACUUAGGUAUAAUCCACAAAAGGACAAAGCCGUCAGAAGAGUAACUCGUCUCUCGUGGGCUAUGCAAAAAAGAUGCUAAUGAGACAUUUAUAAUUGAGGCCACACAGGCAUAAAAGUCAGAAAAGCUUUAUUUAUGGCCUGUACAGCUGCUGC